UCGAGAAUCUUCCACAAUGGACGAAAGUCUGAUGGAGCGACGCCGCGUGAUUGAUGAAGUCCUUAGGGAUGUAAAGAUCUUUUAUGAGCCACUAAGUUAUUGAAGAGCUCAUGAAUAAGGAGUUGCUAAACUCGUGCCAGCAGCAGCGGUAAUACGAGUGCUCCAAGCGUUAUCCGGAAUUACUGGGCGUAAAGGGUGUGUAGGCGGUUUUGUUAGUCGGUUGUUAAAGCUCCUCGCUUAACGGGGAAAAUGCAAUCGAAACGGCAAAUCUAGAGGAUGCGAAAGGUGAACAGAACUCAUAGUGUAGGGGUGAAAUCCGUUGAUAUUAUGGGGAAUACCAAAUGCGAAGGCAGUUCACUAGCGCACUCCUGACGCUGAAACACGAAAGCGUGGGUAGCGA
This 400-nucleotide ribosomal RNA is filed under the name uncultured bacterium. RNAcentral describes it as "bacterial SSU rRNA". It matches the Rfam family "Bacterial small subunit ribosomal RNA", at positions 355 to 771 of the family's 1533-position model. The record is from RNAcentral.